Long non-coding RNA from Bos indicus x Bos taurus (hybrid cattle), 1768 nucleotides. The record is from Ensembl. NCBI's taxonomy places the organism in Eukaryota, Metazoa, Chordata, Mammalia, Artiodactyla, Bovidae.
AAAAAAAAAAGUUCUUUUUCCAUUAUUUUCUUAUUAUGUCCUCACCCAGGAUAAGAAUUCCAAUUCCAGUGAAACAGCAAAGGGUCAGAAUGACUUUAAAUGAAAGGAAUGGAGGUAUAUUUCUAUAUGUCCCCACUCAGGGCCUCUGGCUUCUUGCAGAAACCAGAACUUUUCCACAGAAUGUUUUUCUGUCCAAUACGCGGGGUCCCUAGUGAGGCAUAAAAUGAUGUCCUGUGGACCUCUCAGGCCACAGUGAUGGAUGGGUAGGGUGCUCAGUGUGGGGCCAGGUACACUGUGUGAGGUGUUGGGCAGGCACCCGCCCAUGUUCCUACCACUAUGAACAGCCUGGAGACCUUGCCCAGCCCUCCUCUCUCCCAGUUCUUGGGCUCCACUAUGGAGCAGUGUAUUCUGUCUGCUUCCCACUGCAAACAGAGACUGCCAUUGAGCCAUUUUCCUCCACACUGCACACAGUUUCUGCUGCCAAGAUGUCACCGUGCAACACAUUCCCUCACCCCCUCCUCUCUGGGGCUGGCCGAACAGAACCCUGCUGUCCCUGAGCACGUGCGUGAACGUGGGAUCAGCAGCCCAGCCCUCCCCAGCCCUCUGCAGAGCGGACCGCAGCGUGUUUGCCCAAGGGGUUCAGAGAGAGGACAGCUUGGGGGUGGUUCUAUUUUUCAGAUCUGGAUCAGCUCACGCCGCCUGCCAAGCUGCACCUUCUCUUUUGUGGGCAGGUUUUUCCUGGUUCUGCACAUAGCAGGUACUCCAUAAACGCAUGCCCUUCCCAGUGACCUGUCCCGCUGGCAAGUCCUCCAUGAGGUAACUUCUGCUGGGAGGGCAUCAUGGCCACAUGUGCAGCUUCUUUCUGUAGUUCUACCACCAGCUUGGGGCUUUUCCAACACAAACACGGCAGGGGCAAAGCAGGGGGCAGCUUCCUUUCUCCGCAGAGCAGUUCUCAAAGUUGCCCUUGACCCAGGCCUACAUGCAGCAGCCCCUCUGGGGCUGGGUGGAUGGAUGGCUGCUUCUGCAUUUCAGGAAUUUUCAGGUUUGCCCAGGUCAUGUAGGUGGGCCUUGGGAAGGAUUCGUGGGAAAGAGCUCGCACUACAUCAAUGCAAGCUUGUCCUUAGACCUGCCAGGUUGACCUUGGUGACAAAAAGGUGACCCCAAGGAGCAUCCCCCUGUAUGGCUUUCUAAAUAUGGGGAUGGGAAAUCUCCUUUCCCAGGAUGGGCUAGGUUGCCCCCUGGGGAUGGGGCUUCUCUGCCCUGACUGCAGAGGCUCCCCUGCUGAUUUCUGCUGUGUCACUGCCUUGAGAAGGACAUGUGAAACUGCUCAGGGGCUUAGCAGAGGGAGAUGAAACCAAGAAGUCUGGCUUUUCACGUGAGGCACAGGGGGUAAAGGAGGGGAAGGAAUAAUAGGUGCCAAGGGUUGCCUUGCAACUUCUCGCCGUUUGAACUGGACUUCCCUGAGCCUUUUAGGCCUUCGGUAUUUUAUAGGACAAAGUGGUCUUUUUGUGACCCCCCAGAACUGAACUGAAGGGAGCAUAAAACCAUGUCCGUGACAGUACCAGGCACCGAUUCGGCGCCAAGGAGAGUCCUGGGUGGCUGGGUCACCUGCAGAUUUUGUCGCCCAGGUCUAGACCGGUGUGAGCCGCCAGCCAGGCAGUACGACUGGUUUCCGAGGGAACAACCCACUGGGGUCUGACCGGUCGGUCUCCUACACCAUCUCAUCCCUUCCCAACCCCGGAUCCGGGCUGCCGCCCUGGGUGGGUUU